CACUUACUCACCAGUGCCAUAAAAUGAUAAAUAGCAACUUUCAAAGAAGAUGAGGUGUGAGAAGAAGGGAAGGGUACCUAUGUAAUGGAGGGCAGGAGAAGUAAGAAAGAAAGAAAGAAAGAAAGAGGAGAUAAUCAGCAAUACAAAGUAAAUUUUUAUGUAUUUGUGAGAUUAAGAAAAACACUACACCACCAAGAUGUUUUGCAAGUGCCAAACAGGAUUUCAGAUGAACAGAGACAGGAUGAACAGUGACAAUGGGCAGAGGAGAAAUCUCCUCUGGAUCUCUGUUUGAGGCUAUUACAGAUCUGAGAGCAGGUAUGGACAACCCUUCUGCUUUGCCAUU
Long non-coding RNA from Vidua macroura (Pin-tailed whydah), 343 nucleotides. RefSeq lists it as uncharacterized. NCBI's taxonomy places the organism in Eukaryota, Metazoa, Chordata, Aves, Passeriformes, Viduidae. The record is from RefSeq and is a predicted model, not a curated record. The transcript is spliced from 3 exons.